Molecule: ribosomal RNA, 750 nt
Filed under: Oenococcus oeni
Lineage: Bacteria; Bacillati; Bacillota; Bacilli; Lactobacillales; Lactobacillaceae
Description: bacterial SSU rRNA
Rfam family: Bacterial small subunit ribosomal RNA
Source: RNAcentral
GUAGUCCAUACCGUAAACGAUGGGUGCUAGUUGUUAAGAGGUUUCCGCCUCCUAGUGACGUAGCAAACGCAUUAAGCACCCCGCCUGAGGAGUACGGCCGCAAGGCUAAAACUUAAAGGAAUUGACGGGGACCCGCACAAGCGGUGGAGCAUGUGGUUUAAUUCGAAGAUACGCGAAAAACCUUACCAGGUCUUGACAUACCAAUGAUCGCUUUUGUAAUGAAAGCUUUUCUUCGGAACAUUGGAUACAGGUGGUGCAUGGUCGUCGUCAGCUCGUGUCGUGAGAUGUUGGGUUAAGUCCCGCAACGAGCGCAACCCUUGUUAUUAGUUGCCAGCAUUUAGUUGGGCACUCUAAUGAGACUGCCGGUGAUAAACCGGAGGAAGGUGGGGACGACGUCAGAUCAUCAUGCCCCUUAUGACCUGGGCAACACACGUGCUACAAUGGGAAGUACAACGAGUCGCAAACCGGCGACGGUAAGCUAAUCUCUUAAAACUUCUCUCAGUUCGGACUGGAGUCUGCAACUCGACUCCACGAAGGCGGAAUCGCUAGUAAUCGCGAAUCAGCAUGUCGCGGUGAAUACGUUCCCGGGUCUUGUACACACCGCCCGUCAAAUCAUGGGAGUCGGAAGUACCCAAAGUCGCUUGGCUAACUUUUAGAGGCCGGUGCCUAAGGUAAAAUCGAUGACUGGGAUUAAGUCGUAACAAGGUAGCCGUAGGAGAACCUGCGGCUGGAUCACCUCCUUUCUAAGGA